GACGAACGCUGGCGGCGUGCCUAACACAUGCAAGUCGAGCGGGGUCCAUCCGGUAGCAAUACUGGGGAAGACCUAGCGGCGAACGGGUGAGUAACACGUGAGAAACCUGCCCCGAAGUCUGGGAUAACCCGAGGAAACUCGAGCUAAUACCGGAUGCCUUCUUCUGAUCGCAUGGUCGGAUGAAGAAAGAUUCAUCGCUUCGGGAGGGUCUCGCGGCCUAUCAGCUAGUUGGCGGGUAACGGCCCACCAAGGCGUCGACGGGUAGCUGGUCUGAGAGGACGAUCAGCCACACUGGGACUGAGACACGGCCCAGACUCCUACGGGAGGCAGCAGUGGGGAAUAUUGCGCAAUGGGCGAAAGCCUGACGCAGCAACGCCGCGUGCGGGAUGAAGGCCUUCGGGUUGUAAACCGCUUUCAGUGGGACGAAGUUCAGACGGUACCCACAGAAGAAGCCCCGGCCAACUACGUG
This 469-nucleotide ribosomal RNA is filed under the name uncultured bacterium. RNAcentral describes it as "bacterial SSU rRNA". It matches the Rfam family "Bacterial small subunit ribosomal RNA", at positions 28 to 507 of the family's 1533-position model. The record is from RNAcentral.